This 379-nucleotide long non-coding RNA is filed under the name Gallus gallus (chicken). Lineage: Eukaryota; Metazoa; Chordata; Aves; Galliformes; Phasianidae. The record is from RNAcentral.
GCUUUCUUUAUGUUCUUUUCUUUCAUGCUUUGCAGCACAGCAGAUGGAAGAAAAGUCUCUAAUCCCCAUUCUUUUUCUAUAUAUUUGAGGGAGAUUUUCUGAGUUUGCUUGGUGGUCACAGUUGCAAUAUACAUCUGUAGUGCAGCCAACCGUAGGGCAAUGUCGUAUUUCAGUUCUGGUCCAAAUCUUUCCUGAACCACAUCAUUACAGCUCUGUACAUAAAGAUAUUCAAAAGCAACUGGAUCUCUUCUUAAAAGAUCAAUGGGAUCCUUUGGGACAAAGCUAAUCCUGAAAAGACAUCUCAUCUUAUGCGAGCUUGGCCUCUGAGUCACCUGAGUUAGAGUCUCCUGUUCAUGUAGUAAAAGAAGUUUCGUUCCAG